RNAcentral lists this ribosomal RNA (459 nucleotides) under uncultured bacterium. Its description in RNAcentral is "partial 16S ribosomal RNA". It matches the Rfam family "Bacterial small subunit ribosomal RNA", at positions 338 to 795 of the family's 1533-position model. The record is from RNAcentral.
CCUACGGGAGGCAGCAGUGAGGAAUAUUGGUCAAUGGACGGAAGUCUGAACCAGCCAUGCCGCGUGCAGGAAGACGGCUCUAUGAGUUGUAAACUGCUUUUGUACAAGGGUAAACCUGAAUACGUGUAUUCAGCUGAGAGUACCCGGAGAAAAAGCAUCGGCUAACUCCGUGCCAGCAGCCGCGGUAAUACGGAGGAUGCGAGCGUUAUCCGUAUUUAUUGGGUUUAAGGGGUGCGUAGGCGGAUCGUUAAGUCAGUGGUAAAAUUGCGGGGCUCAACCCCUUCCCGCCAUUGAAACUGGCGCUCUUGAGUGGAAGAGAAGUAUGCGGAAUGCGUGGUGGAGCGGUGAAAUGCAUAGAUAUCACGCAGAACCCCGAUUGCGAAGGCAGCAUGCCGGCUUCCGACUGACGCUGAAGCACGAAAGCGUGGGGAUCGAACAGGAUUAGAUACCCCUGUAGUC